Molecule: long non-coding RNA, 238 nt
Filed under: Elaeis guineensis (African oil palm)
Lineage: Eukaryota; Viridiplantae; Streptophyta; Magnoliopsida; Arecales; Arecaceae
Description: long non-coding RNA (EGUI_LNC022360)
Source: RNAcentral
CUCAUCCUUUUCAUUUUAAAAAAUUUUGGUUAACCUAUCCUAAAAUUGAGGAAGUUGUCCAUCAAGCUUGGAAUGGUUUUGAUAGUUAGCUUUCUACUGAUAAAAUCAUGUUAUGUUUAAAAAAAGUUCAUCAUACUUUAAACUCUUGAAAAUAUUCUAUUGGUAAUCUAAACUCUAGAGCCAGACAAUUAUAUAACCUAAUUUAUAAUCUACAAAUUAAAGAAUCUUAAUGGGGGAG